Molecule: ribosomal RNA, 253 nt
Filed under: uncultured bacterium
Lineage: Bacteria
Description: partial 16S ribosomal RNA
Rfam family: Bacterial small subunit ribosomal RNA
Source: RNAcentral
UACGGAGGGUGCAAGCGUUAUCCGGAUUCACUGGGUUUAAAGGGUGCGUAGGUGGGCAGGUAAGUCAGUGGUGAAAUCUCCGGGCCUAACUCGGAAACUGCCAUUGAUACUAUCUUUCUUGAAUACCGUGGAGGUCAGCGGAAUAUGUCAUGUAGCGGUGAAAUGCUUAGAUAUGACAUAGAACACCUAUUGCGAAGGCAGCUUACUACGCAUAUAUUGACGCUGAGGCACGAAAGCGUGGGGAUCAAACAGG